AGAGUGAACGCUGGCGGUAGGCCUAACACAUGCAAGUCGAACGGCAGCACAGUGGUAGCAAUACCAUGGGUGGCGAGUGGCGGACGGGUGAGGAAUACAUCGGAAUCUACCUUUUCGUGGGGGAUAACGUAGGGAAACUUACGCUAAUACCGCAUAAGACCUUCGGGUGAAAGCCGGGGACCUUCGGGCCUGGCGCGGAUAGAUGAGCCGAUGUCGGAUUAGCUUGUUGGCGGGUAAAAGCCCACCAAGGCGACGAUCCGUAGCUGGUCUGAGAGGAUGAUCAGCCACACUGGAACUGAGACACGGUCCAGACUCCGUACGGGAGCAGCAGUGGGAAUAGUGGACAAGUGGCGCAAGCCUGAUCCAGCAAGUGCCGCGUGAGUGAUGGAAGGUCCGUUAGGUUAGUAAAGUCCUUACGUUUACCCGAGUAUGAUAAGUGACAGUAGUCGGAAG
Molecule: ribosomal RNA, 453 nt
Filed under: uncultured soil bacterium
Lineage: Bacteria
Description: bacterial SSU rRNA
Rfam family: Bacterial small subunit ribosomal RNA
Source: RNAcentral